Conger conger (European conger) is the source of this 1657-nucleotide long non-coding RNA. RefSeq lists it as uncharacterized. NCBI's taxonomy places the organism in Eukaryota, Metazoa, Chordata, Actinopteri, Anguilliformes, Congridae. The record is from RefSeq and is a predicted model, not a curated record. The transcript has 5 exons.
UGACAGUCGGGUUUUCCAGUGUACUCUGUUCACAUACCUUUACCACGUGGUUUGGAAAAGGUACAUAAAUCACAGACUGUAAACAGGUCAGUGGUAAUCAACGUCAGCUUUAAAUGGCAUAGAAAAAUAUGCAACCGCACUUUAAUUGUAGCAACUUUUUAAUGGUGAAAUAGGGUUGAAGCAAAACUUUCUUUAUUUAAAAGGAAACAAUUUGUUUGUGAUAACAUUGGCGUGAAACUGGAUAAGCAAACGCAUGAAACACACGCAACUUGAGUCACUGAAAAUAUUUGGAGGGAAGUUGAUUUUAAAACGCAUCUUUGAACAAAUCAUAACUCACCUUCGGUUCCCUCUUGGAUUCCUAAACGCCUCCGGAGGUCAGCCGUUUCGUUCUCCAGCCAGGUGAGAUGCCUGUGACUUGACCGCGCUUUAUCCAAUGUGCUGAGAAUGGCGUCGCACUGUCUGCUCUGAUUCUCAGGCACGAAGUAAACCAAGAGACUGUCACAAUUUAUUAAAUGAAUCAGAGCUAUGGCAGUGGUGGAACACCAGCCUGGCUCACAACCGAAAACUCCAACUCACCCUCAAAUGAUACUAGCCCAGAUUUCUAACACUAUAAAUUAAUAUUUUGGAAGGAUGGAUUAGAGGCAGAAUGAUGGGGGUCACAGCUCCAGCUCCACCCAACACAGGAGCGACUUCCCAUGAAGAAGAGACCCUUUCCAGUGUUCUCCUUCACGGAGGAUGGUGUCCUGUGAAACACAUCGGGGUAGAGCAUCGCAUGGAAACUGUUUGGGUUUCAAUGACCUAAACUUGCGGAAACCCAGGAAAUGGAUGUAGCAUCUGUGUGAGAUGGCCGUGGCAUGGCUCCCUCUCUCCCACCUGGGGACGGUCUGAACUGCCUCUCAACCGCAUCGCCACCCCGGGAACAACACCUCCGUCUCCAGAGAGACCAGCCUGACAGACUUACGACACCUACUGCACUAUGGAAAGCAAAGAAAUGAAGAAAAGUGUUGUUCUGUUCCCCCACAAACGUUGUAAACAGGAGUUUACUUCUGGGGGAAUAGAACAACCCCCCCCCAAAAAAAAAAAAAAAAACAGCCCAGUACUUUCUAAAACCUUUGGCUCUGCAUGAGAAGAUUUCAGAAAGUACUAAUCAUUCAUUGAAUAUACUCCUGCAAAGACUGCAGACAGCACACAGUCCUUGUUGUUGGACCAGAACAGACAUUGCAGGUCCUGUUAGAGAUGUUGCAGGUCCCUUUAGAGACAUUGCAGGUCCCGUUAGAGACAUUGCAGGUCCCUUUAGAGACUUUGCAGGUCCCUUUAGAGACAUUGUGGGUGCCAUUAGAGACAUUGUGGGUCCCGUUAGAGACAUUGCAGGUCACAUUCGAGACAUUGCAGGUCCCAUUAGAGACAUUGCAGAUUCUGUUAGAAACAUUGCGGGUCCCAUUAGAGACAUUGCAGGUCCUGUUAGAGACAUUUUCCCACAGUUGAAAAACAGAAGCAGAGGUAAAUUAGCAUUAAACCAUGUCAGCUGGGUGCGUUGCAAUCUCAUCCUGAAAUCCAAACCCAAGAAAAUAUAAAUGUUUCUUUUUUCCUGCCAACAUCAACUACUGUACAUCCGAGCCCCUCAAUUACACUGAAUAUAUCCCGGAUUUAUUCUGGA